UUUUUGGAGAGUUUGAUCUUGGCUCAGGACGAACGCUGGCGGCGUGCCUAAUACAUGCAAGUCGAGCGCUGGAAGCUAAUUUCAUCCCUUCGGGAUGAAAUUAGUGGAAAGAGCGGCGGACGGGUGAGUAACACGUGGGCAACCUACCUAUAAGACUGGGAUAACUCGCGGAAACGUGAGCUAAUACCGGAUAAUACUUUUUAUUGCAUAGUAAGAAGUUUGAAAGGCGGCGUAAGCUGUCACUUAUAGAUGGGCCCGCGGCGCAUUAGCUAGUUGGUGAGGUAAAGGCUCACCAAGGCAACGAUGCGUAGCCGACCUGAGAGGGUGAUCGGCCACACUGGGACUGAGACACGGCCCAGACUCCUACGGGAGGCAGCAGUAGGGAAUCUUCCGCAAUGGACGAAAGUCUGACGGAGCAACGCCGCGUGAGUGAAGAAGG
Molecule: ribosomal RNA, 439 nt
Filed under: Bacilli bacterium
Lineage: Bacteria; Bacillati; Bacillota; Bacilli
Description: bacterial SSU rRNA
Rfam family: Bacterial small subunit ribosomal RNA
Source: RNAcentral